GAGUCGGUUACGCAAGGGGAAGGUAUUAGCACCCCUCACGUCCGUCGUACUCGACGGGAUCCACGUCCUAAAAGAAAGAAAAGGUUGCUAAAACAUCACACACACACACACCGAAGACAACGCAGGUGGGGUUAAGAAGAAGGGAGCUCGAUAGGACAUCGCAUCCUAUGCCUACAUAUCUCGUCUGGAACGAGAAUCAGAGCUACUGUAGUUCGGCUCACGCACGCCAAACAAG
RNAcentral lists this long non-coding RNA (235 nucleotides) under Lathyrus oleraceus (garden pea). Its description in RNAcentral is "Pisum sativum (pea) long non-coding RNA (PSAT_LNC041556)". The record is from RNAcentral. Lineage: Eukaryota; Viridiplantae; Streptophyta; Magnoliopsida; Fabales; Fabaceae.